Molecule: ribosomal RNA, 775 nt
Filed under: uncultured Neocallimastigales
Lineage: Eukaryota; Fungi; Neocallimastigomycota; Neocallimastigomycetes; Neocallimastigales
Description: partial large subunit ribosomal RNA
Rfam family: Eukaryotic large subunit ribosomal RNA
Source: RNAcentral
AGAGAGAGACAUGCGCGCAUAUCAAUAAGCGGAGGAAAAGAAACUAACAAGGAUUCCCUUAGUAACGGCGAGUGAAGCGGGAAGAGCUCAAAUUUGAAAUCUUCAAGGUUUUACCUUGACGAAUUGUAGUUUAAAGAAGUGUUUUCUGCUGAAGUUUUGGUAAAAGUUCUUUGGAAUAGGACAUCAUAGAGGGAUGAGAAUCCCGUAUUUGACCAUUAUUUUCAGCUUUGUGAUACACUUUCAAAGAGUCGGAUUGUUUGGGAAUGCAGUCCAAAAUGGGUGGUAAAUUUCAUCUAAAGCUAAAUAUUGGCGAGAGACCGAUAGCGAACAAGUACCGUGAGGGAAAGAUGAAAAGAACUUUGAAAAGAGAGUUAAACAGUACGUGAAAUUGUCAAAAGGGAAGCGUUUGACACCAGUGUUGUUUUCUCGAAAAUCAAUUAAAAAUGGCUCGAUUUUGUAUUGUUGAGACCUUAAAAGCUCACUGUACAUUUUUCGUGUCUUUUUUAAUGCACUUUUCGUUUAACAAGUCAACAUCAGUUUCUUUCGUUGUAAAAGGGUCAUUGGAAGGUGGCUUUCUUUUCGGAGAAAGUGUUUAUAGCCUUUGGCCUCUGCAAUCGGAGAGACUGAGGUCUGCAGCGUAGACUCUUCGGGGUUAGAUACAUUUGUGCUAAGUUAUAGCUUUUAUAGACAACUUGUUGACUAUGAUUAGUCAUUGUAGCUUACUCGCUUAUGCUAUUUUACCUACGCUUAGGAUGUUGAGUCGUAGAGCACGCAG